This 891-nucleotide ribosomal RNA is filed under the name uncultured archaeon. RNAcentral describes it as "bacterial SSU rRNA". It matches the Rfam family "Archaeal small subunit ribosomal RNA", at positions 25 to 922 of the family's 1478-position model. The record is from RNAcentral.
GACUGCUAUCGGAUUGAUACUAAGCCAUGCGAGUCUUUGCAGUAAUGCAGGGCAUACGGCUCAGUAACACGUAGUCAACUUACCCUAUGGACGAGGAUAAUCUCGGGAAACUGAGCAUAAUACUCGAUAGAUCAUAAUGCCUGGAAUGGUUUAUGGUUGAAAUGAUUCAUCGCCAUAGGAUGGGACUGCGGCCUAUCAGCUUGUUGGUGAGGUAAUGGCCCACCAAGGCGAUUACAGGUACGGGCUCUGAGAGGAGAAGCCCGGAGAUGGGUACUGAGACAAGGACCCAGGCCCUAUGGGGCGCAGCAGGCGAGAAAACUUUGCAAUGUGCGAAAGCACGACAAGGUUAAUCCGAGUGAUUUCUGCUAAAGAAAUCUUUUGCAAGUCAUAAAACCACUAGUGAAUAAGGGGUGGGCAAGUUCUGGUGUCAGCCGCCGCGGUAAAACCAGCACCUCAAGUGGUCAGGAGGAUUAUUGGGCCUAAAGCAUCCGUAGCCGGCUCUGUAAGUUUUCGGUUAAAUCCAUGUGCUCAACGCAUGGGCUGCCGAAAAUACUGCAUAGCUAGGGAGUGGGAGAGGUAGACGGUACUCGGUAGGAAGGGGUAAAAUCCUUUGAUCUAUCGAUGACCACCUGUGGCGAAGGCGGUCUACCAGAACACGUUCGACGGUGAGGGAUGAAAGCUGGGGGGGCAAACCGGAUUAGAUACCCGGGUAGUCCCAGCUGUAAACGAUGCAGACUCGAUGAUGCAUUGGCAUAUAGCCAGUGCAGUGUCGCAGGGAAGCCGUUAAGUCUGCCGCCUGGGAAGUACGUACGCAAGUAUGAAACUUAAAGGAAUUGGCGGGGGAGCACCACAAGGGGUGAAGCCUGCGGUUCAAUUGGAGUCAACGCCGGG